This 253-nucleotide ribosomal RNA is filed under the name uncultured bacterium. RNAcentral describes it as "partial 16S ribosomal RNA". It matches the Rfam family "Bacterial small subunit ribosomal RNA", at positions 524 to 776 of the family's 1533-position model. The record is from RNAcentral.
UACGAAGGGGGCUAGCGUUGCUCGGAAUCACUGGGCGUAAAGCGCACGUAGGCGGAUUGUUAAGUCAGGGGUGAAAUCCUGGAGCUCAACUCCAGAACUGCCUUUGAUACUGAGGAUCUCGAGUCCGGAAGAGGUGAGUGGAACUCCGAGUGUAGAGGUGAAAUUCGUAGAUAUUCGGAAGAACACCAGUGGCGAAGGCGGCUCACUGGUCCGGUACUGACGCUGAGGUGCGAAAGCGUGGGGAGCAAACAGG